Long non-coding RNA from Eurytemora carolleeae, 256 nucleotides. RefSeq lists it as uncharacterized. NCBI's taxonomy places the organism in Eukaryota, Metazoa, Arthropoda, Copepoda, Calanoida, Temoridae. The record is from RefSeq and is a predicted model, not a curated record. The transcript is spliced from 2 exons.
UUCUGCAUAAACGUAAACAAAAUCCUCGUGCAACAAUAAGAUUUAAAUUCGUAAAAAAAUAGAAACAAUUUACGCUUAAAAUUCAGUGAAUCAUUUUGCAAACUAAUAGUGAAUUAAUUUUUACCAAAUGAAUAUUUUUUUUCAGAAAUUGAAUAGUUUAGACUCCGAUUCCAACCACUAUUCCCGUACUAUACGACAAUAGAUCGAAACCUCGUUACUGAAAUAUAUUUUCACCAGAAGUUAUCGUCUACGUAUA